CCAUUUUAGAGGCUGGAAUAGGGAUUAUUGAGUCUGGUAGAGUAAGGAUCCCUUUAUCUGUCCUCUAG
Molecule: microRNA precursor, 68 nt
Organism: Cercocebus atys (sooty mangabey)
Lineage: Eukaryota; Metazoa; Chordata; Mammalia; Primates; Cercopithecidae
Source: Ensembl